AGCUUUGGAAGCGACACUGGACCAGACACUGAGCGCCCAGAGUCUGAUGAGAGGUUUACCAGAUCGCAGUGCAGCAGAAGGCACAGUUUUCGGUUAUUCCUACGAAGAGAUGCAGGGUGCAGGGAGAGGCCUGGCAAACAGCUCGGAGUUACAGCGGUCCCACAACGAGCAACAGUGACAGGAACAUGUCCAGCCCAACCUGAGGUGCUCCCGAGAAGCUGCGGCCGUGGGAUUUAUUUUUUUUUAGUUUUCUCAAGGAAGAAUGAAAAGCCCUGAGUGAGAGAGAGAGAGAGAGAGAGAGAGAAAGAAACCGAAUGACCGGAUUUUUGAGGAAUUGCUGUGUGGUAGCACUGUGUGUGUGUGUGAGAGAUAUAUGGUGUUUAAGGAAUAAACGAUCAGUUAUAUUUA
Rhincodon typus (whale shark) is the source of this 408-nucleotide long non-coding RNA. RefSeq lists it as uncharacterized. The record is from RefSeq and is a predicted model, not a curated record. The transcript is spliced from 2 exons. NCBI's taxonomy places the organism in Eukaryota, Metazoa, Chordata, Chondrichthyes, Orectolobiformes, Rhincodontidae.